This 443-nucleotide ribosomal RNA is filed under the name uncultured bacterium. Its description in RNAcentral is "bacterial SSU rRNA". It matches the Rfam family "Bacterial small subunit ribosomal RNA", at positions 28 to 489 of the family's 1533-position model. The record is from RNAcentral.
GAUGAACGCUAGCGGCGUGCCUAACACAUGCAAGUCGAACGUGAGAAAGACUUCGGUCUUUUGAAAGUGGCGGACGGGUGAGUAAGACGUAGGUGACCUGCCUUGAAGUGGGGAAUAACAACCGGAAACGGUUGCUAAUACCGCAUAAUGCAGCGGCACCGCAAGGUGACAGUUGUUAAAGAUUUAUCGCUUGAGGAGGAGCUUGCGGCAGAUUAGCUAGUUGGUAGGGUAACGGCUUACCAAGGCUACGAUCUGUAACCGGUCUAAGAGGACGGUCGGUCACACUGACACUGAAUAACGGGUCAGACUCCUACGGGAGGCAGCAGUCGGGAAUUUUGGGCAAUGGGCGAAAGCCUGACCCAGCAACGCCGCGUGAAGGAUGAAGUAUUUCGGUAUGUAAACUUCGAAAGAAUAGGAAGAAUUAAUGACGGUACUAUUUAUAA